Molecule: non-coding RNA, 553 nt
Organism: Labrus bergylta (ballan wrasse)
Lineage: Eukaryota; Metazoa; Chordata; Actinopteri; Labriformes; Labridae
Source: RefSeq, a predicted model, not a curated record
CCUCCUCCUCCACAUUCUCCUCCUCCUCCUCCUUCUUCUCACACCUUUUGGUCCAGAGAGGAAGAGGAAGCCCAGCCCAGCGAGAGAGACGCUGAGAGGAUGAAACUCUGACACGCCGACAGACCACAGGGAAACAAGAGCACAACUAUAAUUGCUGGAAGGAAGCGCCCGGGAAGGUCAGCCAAGAAUCCCGCCGUAGGUGCCAAAGUGAAAAUCUACAGGACUACAAUUACUUGGACAGACUGAGGCUGCGGAGCAAAGUGAAUGACAGACUCUGAUCGCUUUAAGGGGGCGCUGACUCUGGACUUCACGCUCAGCUUCUGCAACAAGUGAUUUCUCCCCCUCCCAGUACCAUCCCCUCUGACCGUUGACCUCCAGCCCUUUUACAGGUUGUAUCUGACGGAGGGACCGGUUGCCGCGCUCUCCCCAUCCCCGCGCCUUCUCCUUCAACAACAACAACUAGUUCUUCAGGACCUGUGGCAGCAGCAGCGAGUCAAGUGACCCAGCUUCAGCCCGACCGGCUUUACCUGUACAUGGAGACCCCCAGCUGGGC